RNAcentral lists this ribosomal RNA (478 nucleotides) under uncultured bacterium. RNAcentral describes it as "partial 16S ribosomal RNA". It matches the Rfam family "Bacterial small subunit ribosomal RNA", at positions 28 to 507 of the family's 1533-position model. The record is from RNAcentral.
GAUGAACGCUGGCGGCGUGCUUAACACAUGCAAGUCGAACGAGAAAUGGAGACGGAAACCUUCGGGCGGAAGGCUUCAUUUCGAGUGGCGGACGGGUGAGUAACGCGUGGGUAACCUGCCUCAUACAGGGGGAUAACAGUUGGAAACGACUGUUAAUACCGCAUAAGACCACAGCACCGCAUGGUGCGGGGGUAAAAACUCCGGUGGUAUGAGAUGGACCCGCGUUCGAUUAGCCAGUUGGCGGGGUAACGGCCCACCAAAGCGACGAUCGAUAGCCGAUCUGAGAGGAGGACCGGCCACAUUGGGACUGAGACACGGCCCAAACUCCUACGGGAGGCAGCAGUGGGGAAUAUUGCACAAUGGGGGAAACCCUGAUGCAGCGACGCCGCGUGAGUGAAGAAGUACUUCGGUAUGUAAAGCUCUAUCAGCAGGGAAGAAAAUGACGGUACCUGAGUAAGAAGCCCCGGCUAACUACGUG